AUUUAGUGGGGGGAGAAAAAGCCCCACACAAGCCAAUGGACCCAUACCCCGAGUUGGAAGAUCUUAUUCGCCCCACAUUGGGGAUUGAAACCCGGCCCCAAAUUCCUUAGGGGAGGGCUGCAGUAGGGAAUUUUUCCCCAAUGGGGGAAACCCUGAUGGAAAAACGCCGCGUGUGUGAUGAAGGCUUUCGGGUCGUAAAGCACUGUUGUAUGGGAAGAACAGCUAGAAUAGGAAAUGAUUUUAGUUUGACGGUACCAUACCAGAAAGGGACGGCUAAAUACGUGCCAGCAGCCGCGGUAAUACGUAUGUCCCGAGCGUUAUCCGGAUUUAUUGGGCGUAAAGCGAGCGCAGACGGUUUAUUAAGUCUGAUGUGAAAGCCCGGAGCUCAACUCCGGAAUGGCAUUGGAAACUGGUUAACUUGAGUGCAGUAGAGGUAAGUGGAACUCCAUGUGUAGCGGUGGAAUGCGUAGAUAUAUGGAAGAACACCAGUGGCGAAGGCGGCUUACUGGACUGCAACUGACGUUGAGGCUCGAAAGUGUGGGUAGCAAACAGGAUUAGAUACCCUGGUAGUCCACACCGUAAACGAUGAACACUAGGUGUUAGGAGGUUUCCGCCUCUUAGUGCCGAAGCUAACGCAUUAAGUGUUCCGCCUGGGGAGUACGACCGCAAGGUUGAAACUCAAAGGAAUUGACGGGGACCCGCACAAGCGGUGGAGCAUGUGGUUUAAUUCGAAGCAACGCGAAGAACCUUACCAGGUCUUGACAUCCUUUGAAGCUUUUAGAGAUAGAAGUGUUCUCUUCGGAGACAAAGUGACAGGUGGUGCAUGGUCGUCGUCAGCUCGUGUCGUGAGAUGUUGGGUUAAGUCCCGCAACGAGCGCAACCCUUAUUGUUAGUUGCCAGCAUUCAGAUGGGCACUCUAGCGAGACUGCCGGUGACAAACCGGAGGAAGGCGGGGACGACGUCAGAUCAUCAUGCCCCUUAUGACCUGGGCUACACACGUGCUACAAUGGCGUAUACAACGAGUUGCCAGCCCGCGAGGGUGAGCUAAUCUCUUAAAGUACGUCUCAGUUCGGAUUGUAGUCUGCAACUCGACUACAUGAAGUCGGAAUCGCUAGUAAUCGCGGAUCAGCACGCCGCGGUGAAUACGUUCCCGGGUCUUGUACACACCGCCCGUCACACCAUGGGAGUUUGUAAUGCCCAAAGCCGGUGGCCUAACCUUUAGGAAGGAGCCGUCUAAGCAGACAGAGGGG
This 1250-nucleotide ribosomal RNA is filed under the name Leuconostoc mesenteroides. Its description in RNAcentral is "bacterial SSU rRNA". It matches the Rfam family "Bacterial small subunit ribosomal RNA", at positions 243 to 1475 of the family's 1533-position model. Lineage: Bacteria; Bacillati; Bacillota; Bacilli; Lactobacillales; Lactobacillaceae. The record is from RNAcentral.